Molecule: ribosomal RNA, 353 nt
Filed under: uncultured archaeon
Lineage: Archaea
Description: bacterial SSU rRNA
Rfam family: Archaeal small subunit ribosomal RNA
Source: RNAcentral
GACGAAGCCCUGGGUCGCAAACGGGAUUAGAUACCCCGGUAGUCCAGGGUGUAAACGCUGCAGACUUGGUGUUGGGGGCCCUACGGGGGCGUUCAGUGCCGGAGAGAAGUUGUUAAGUCUGCUACUUGGGGAGUACGUCCGCAAGGAUGAAACUUAAAGGAAUUGGCGGGGGAGCACCGCAACGGGAGGAGCGUGCGGUUUAAUUGGAUUCAACACCGGAAAACUCACCAGCGGCGACUGUUACAUGAAAGUCAGGCCGAUGACCUUACUAGAUUUUCAGAGAGGUGGUGCAUGGCCGUCGUCAGUUCGUACCGUAAGGCGUUCUCUUAAGUGAGAUAACGAACGAGACCCUC